This 253-nucleotide ribosomal RNA is filed under the name uncultured bacterium. RNAcentral's name for it is "partial 16S ribosomal RNA". It matches the Rfam family "Bacterial small subunit ribosomal RNA", at positions 524 to 776 of the family's 1533-position model. The record is from RNAcentral.
UACGGAGGGAGCUAGCGUUGUUCGGAAUUACUGGGCGUAAAGCGCACGUAGGCGGCUUUGUAAGUUAGAGGUGAAAGCCCGGGGCUCAACUCCGGAACUGCCUUUAAGACUGCAUCGCUUGAAUCCAGGAGAGGUGAGUGGAAUUCCGAGUGUAGAGGUGAAAUUCGUAGAUAUUCGGAAGAACACCAGUGGCGAAGGCGGCUCACUGGCCCGUUACCGACGCUCAGGCGCGACAGCGUGGGGAGCAAACAGG